RNAcentral lists this ribosomal RNA (484 nucleotides) under uncultured bacterium. RNAcentral describes it as "partial 16S ribosomal RNA". It matches the Rfam family "Bacterial small subunit ribosomal RNA", at positions 30 to 507 of the family's 1533-position model. The record is from RNAcentral.
AUUGAACGCUGGCGGCAGGCCUAACACAUGCCAGUCGAGCGGAUGAAGGGAGCUUGCUCCUGGAUUCAGCGGCGGACGGGUGAGUAAUGCCUAGGAAUCUGCCUGGUAGUGGGGGAUAACGUCCGGAAACGGGCGCUAAUACCGCAUACGUCCUGAGGGAGAAAGUGGGGGAUCUUCGGACCUCACGCUAUCAGAUGAGCCUAGGUCGGAUUAGCUAGUUGGUGGGGUAAAGGCCUACCAAGGCGACGAUCCGUAACUGGUCUGAGAGGAUGAUCAGUCACACUGGAACUGAGACACGGUCCAGACUCCUACGGGAGGCAGCAGUGGGGAAUAUUGGACAAUGGGCGAAAGCCUGAUCCAGCCAUGCCGCGUGUGUGAAGAAGGUCUUCGGAUUGUAAAGCACUUUAAGUUGGGAGGAAGGGCAGUAAGUUAAUACCUUGCUGUUUUGACGUUACCAACAGAAUAAGCACCGCCUAACUUCGUG